CGGAUGUAGUUUAAUGGUAGAACUUCAGCCUUCCAAGCUGACCACGGGAGUUCGAUUCUCCUCAUCCG
This 68-nucleotide transfer RNA is filed under the name bovine gut metagenome. It matches the Rfam family "tRNA". From Rfam's summary of the family: Transfer RNA (tRNA) molecules are approximately 80 nucleotides in length. Their secondary structure includes four short double-helical elements and three loops (D, anti-codon, and T loops). The record is from RNAcentral. RNAcentral also lists the same sequence under 1 other name.